UCAACGGAUUGUCUCAUCUCAGCAUCUCAUCAUAUUGCCUAUAUAUGCAUAAGGUAAGUACAGAAUGAUAAGUGAUAAAAAGUUGAGAUUGUGAUGGAUAUUUACUUAAUAUAUGGAUUGAUCUCCAUGUAGUUUAGUAAAACAUAUAUUUUACCUAUCAGAGCUCUCUAUCGGUUAAUAUCCGAUGAACCUUAUGCCCAAA
This 202-nucleotide long non-coding RNA is filed under the name Elaeis guineensis (African oil palm). Its description in RNAcentral is "long non-coding RNA (EGUI_LNC008184)". Lineage: Eukaryota; Viridiplantae; Streptophyta; Magnoliopsida; Arecales; Arecaceae. The record is from RNAcentral.